GGUACUUUGACCGUGCUAAGGUAGCAUAAUAAGUUGGYUUUAMAWUGGGGUCGAGUAUGAAUGAVAGAACGUAGCUUAGCUGUCUCAAUAUCAUUUUGUUGAAUUUACUGUGUAGAUGRAAAAGUCUACGAAAUAUAAAGACGAGAAGACCCUUAGAAUUUAAAUGAUACUGAGAGHAHUUCUCACAAUAUUUUUGUUGGGGCGACACAGAAACAGGAAGAUAACUUUCUGAGAAUAACAUGACGAUUUUGUUAAGAUUGGGUAAAUUACCUGAGGGAUAACAGCAUAAUUAUAUAAAUUAGUUUGUGACCUCGAUGUUGGACUAGGAAAUUAGUAGAUUAGCCGUUUACUAUAUUGGUUCUGUUCGAAC
This 370-nucleotide ribosomal RNA is filed under the name Berthella sideralis. RNAcentral's name for it is "partial 16S ribosomal RNA". It matches the Rfam family "Archaeal large subunit ribosomal RNA", at positions 2015 to 2657 of the family's 2987-position model. Lineage: Eukaryota; Metazoa; Mollusca; Gastropoda; Pleurobranchida; Pleurobranchidae. The record is from RNAcentral.